AGAAAAAACUUUAAAAUUUAAAGAAGAAAUAAAACAUAUAUUAUGUUUCUUUCUUUUCUCUCUCUCUCUAACCUCUUCUCUUCCUCUUCCUCUUCCUCUUCCUCUUCCUUUCCUUUCUACAAAAAAUGAAUUGGAAGGGUUUUCUUCUUCUUCUGAUCUCUCAACAUUUUCUAUGGUUUCAUUGUUCUUUUUCUCUACAAAAGCUUUCCUUCAAACUCUUUUACAAUCAGAGGUAAGAGAGAAAUCGAAUUGUGACGCUCGAGUAAAUGAAUGAUAGGACGACGUUACGUUCAAAAUGAGGUGGUGAUUUGAGAUGAUUAGUUUAUAUUUGAUUGAGGACUUGAAAAUUUAAAUGUAAUAUUAAUUAAAAGAAGAUUCUAUAUACAUACAUGUGUGGUGUUGGGUAUAGAAUAAUUGAGUGAAUUUUACCCAUAAGAGAAUCUCUUCAACUUGGAAGAAAACUUACAAAGUAAUCCAAAGUAAAGCAAUUUUCUUUUCUCACAAAAA
Molecule: long non-coding RNA, 507 nt
Organism: Cucumis sativus (cucumber)
Lineage: Eukaryota; Viridiplantae; Streptophyta; Magnoliopsida; Cucurbitales; Cucurbitaceae
Exons: 2
Source: RefSeq, a predicted model, not a curated record